AGUAGUUUCCUCUGGUGCACAAACCAAAAUACACCAGAAAGAGUUAUUGCCCUUUGUAACACUCUCUUGUAUUGGAGAUAUGAACAGCCUUCAUUUGUUUUCAGUAUGGCAGGAGGUGGAAAUUGAGUUUUUAUUCAAUUUGUUCUUCAGAUGUUUAUCAAUAUCAGAUGCUCUUUGUUCACUUAAUUCACUACCACGAUCUUUAUCUUCAAUUGUGCUAAAGGAUUCCGGUUUAUUUCAUGGAAUACAAAUCCGUUUGAUCUUUGCCAUAGUCACCGGACUCUAGCAUCCAAUCGUCUACGUAUUCGUAGAAAAAGUAAAUGUUGUGGAAUUUAACGCUUUAUUGCAUCACAUCCGAUUGAAAAAAUGACCUGGGAAACAGAAGGUUGACAGAUAUAUUCAUAGAAAAUAUGAAAAAGCCCUGCCUGUUGCCGUGUUGGAACUUGUAUUGACCUGUAUGAGCAUCAUACUGUGCAAAUCACCUAAAGAUGGAGUUGACCAAGUUGCUGACUUUGAGGAGAACUUGAAGAGCAGAAGAUGCAUCCCAUGACUCUUAUAUGAUAUAGAAGACAAAGAAGAGCUCUUGAGUAUGGAAAAAAACCUGCGAGUUUUACAGUCUAUGAACACACCUCACGACACAAGUCCAUCCUGAUUCAGUAAACUGUUCUUCUAAGGAAACACCAUGACUUAGUUAAGAUCAAGUUUUGGUGUCAGAAGACUAAUGUAACUAAAACAUUGCAAAAUUAACCUGCAAGUGUCUUAUGUGAGCCUACUGAAUAAGGAUUCAUUACUGAACAGUUGAAGGAAAAUCACUAUCAUAAUGAUUUUUAAAAAAAGAUGAUUGUGUUGUUUGGAUAACAUUGUGAUCCAUGUUUGUUGAAUAAACAACUUUGCAAAAAUGAGUUGUUCUGUGUUAAUAUUAUAAAUUUACUAAUUACUGGUAUGUCAACAUAGAUUACAGUAACACUGAACAAACUUCAAUAAAUUUUAAAGUUUCAUGCAGUUUCUGCAGUAGAAAAUGACACCUAUUGAUUUUCUGGUCCAAAGGUCACCAGGUGCAAUACAAUACUCUGUACAAUUGAUGUCUGACUAGUUUCUUCAGAACCCUUUGAUUGAUAGUGAUAUUUCAUACAGGGGUUGGUCAC
Ostrea edulis (European flat oyster) is the source of this 1145-nucleotide long non-coding RNA. RefSeq lists it as uncharacterized. The record is from RefSeq and is a predicted model, not a curated record. The transcript has 3 exons. Lineage: Eukaryota; Metazoa; Mollusca; Bivalvia; Ostreida; Ostreidae.